GACGAACGCUGGCGGCGUGCUUAACACAUGCAAGUCGAACGGAAAGGCCCUGCUUUUGUGGGGUGCUCGAGUGGCGAAAGGGUGAGUAACACGUGAGUAACCUGCCCUUGACUUUGGGAUAACUUCAGGAAACUGGGGCUAAUACCGGAUAGGAGCUCCUGCUGCAUGGUGGGGGUUGGAAAGUUUCGGCGGUUGGGGAUGGACUCGCGGCUUAUCAGCUUGUUGGUGGGGUAGUGGCUUACCAAGGCUUUGACGGGUAGCCGGCCUGAGAGGGUGACCGGCCACAUUGGGACUGAGGUACGGCCCAGACUCCUACGGGAGGCAGCAGUGGGGAAUAUUGCACAAUGGGAGGACGCCUGAUGCAGCAACGCAGCGUGCGGGAUGACGGCCUUCGGGUUGUAAACCGCUUUCGCCUGUGACGAAGCGUGAGUGACGGUAAUGGGUAAAGAAGCACCGGCUAACUACGUG
This 468-nucleotide ribosomal RNA is filed under the name uncultured bacterium. RNAcentral's name for it is "partial 16S ribosomal RNA". It matches the Rfam family "Bacterial small subunit ribosomal RNA", at positions 28 to 507 of the family's 1533-position model. The record is from RNAcentral.